AUUGAACGCUGGCGGCAGGCUUAACACAUGCAAGUCGAGCGGGGGGAGGUAGCUUGCUACCGGACCUAGCGGCGGACGGGUGAGUAAUGCUUAGGAAUCUGCCUAUUAGUGGGGGACAACAUCUCGAAAGGGAUGCUAAUACCGCAUACGUCCUACGGGAGAAAGCAGGGGAUCUUCGGACCUUGCGCUAAUAGAUGAGCCUAAGUCGGAUUAGCUAGUUGGUGGGGUAAAGGCCUACCAAGGCGACGAUCUGUAGCGGGUCUGAGAGGAUGAUCCGCCACACUGGGACUGAGACACGGCCCAGACUCCUACGGGAGGCAGCAGUGGGGAAUAUUGGACAAUGGGGGGAACCCUGAUCCAGCCAUGCCGCGUGUGUGAAGAAGGCCUUAUGGUUGUAAAGCACUAUAAGCGAGGAGGAGGCUACGUUAGUUAAUACCUAGAGAUAGUGGACGUUACUCGCAGAAUAAGCACCGGCUAACUCUGUGCCAGCCGCCGCUGUAA
This 501-nucleotide ribosomal RNA is filed under the name uncultured bacterium. RNAcentral's name for it is "partial 16S ribosomal RNA". It matches the Rfam family "Bacterial small subunit ribosomal RNA", at positions 30 to 523 of the family's 1533-position model. The record is from RNAcentral.